Molecule: ribosomal RNA, 374 nt
Filed under: uncultured Glomeromycotina
Lineage: Eukaryota; Fungi; Glomeromycota
Description: SSU rRNA
Rfam family: Eukaryotic small subunit ribosomal RNA
Source: RNAcentral
CAUUCAUUUGGUGUUACGGGGAGUCAGGACUGUUACUUUGAAAAAAUUAGAGUGUUUAAAGCAGGCAAUCGCUCGAAUACAUUAGCAUGGAAUAAUGAAAUAGGACGUUCGAACCUAUUUUGUUGGUUUCUAGGAUCGACGUAAUGAUUAAUAGGGAUAGUUGGGGGCAUUAGUAUUCAAUUGUCAGAGGUGAAAUUCUUGGAUUUAUUGAAGACUAACUACUGCGAAAGCAUUUGCCAAGGAUGUUUUCAUUAAUCAAGAACGAAAGUUAGGGGAUCGAAGACGAUCAGAUACCGUCGUAGUCUUAACCAUAAACUAUGCCGACUAGGGAUCGGAUGAUGUUAAUUUUUUAAUGACUCAUUCGGCGCCUUACG